UCGCAGCGUGACUCUGUCGGGAUGUAAUGCAGGACGAGAUUCUGCAGUUCGGUUUAUUGGGCUCCCCCUGUAAACUUUCUCCCUUGAUUUCUCAACUUCCCUCGAGUAUGUAUACGAGUAUAUAUAUAUACCCGUAUAUACCUAUGUGCGUACGGACCAUUCAUCGCAUCCAGUCUCUGCACGGCCACAGCUCGCACUUCGGCAACAGCUAAACGAUCGCUUACUCGAGGAUUACAAGAUCUUUAAAUCCCUUCGAACCGCCGGGAUUACA
This 271-nucleotide unclassified non-coding RNA is filed under the name Athalia rosae (coleseed sawfly). RNAcentral describes it as "misc RNA ENSAEAG00005012770.1". Lineage: Eukaryota; Metazoa; Arthropoda; Insecta; Hymenoptera; Athaliidae. The record is from RNAcentral.